GACCCUAUCGUCUAGCGGUUAGGACACUGCCCUUUCACGGCAGCGGCACGGGUUCGACUCCCGUAGGGGACG
Molecule: transfer RNA, 72 nt
Filed under: Deltaproteobacteria bacterium
Lineage: Bacteria; Pseudomonadati; Myxococcota; Myxococcia
Description: tRNA-Glu
Rfam family: tRNA
About the family: Transfer RNA (tRNA) molecules are approximately 80 nucleotides in length. Their secondary structure includes four short double-helical elements and three loops (D, anti-codon, and T loops).
Source: RNAcentral